GAUGAACGCUAGCUACAGGCUUAACACAUGCAAGUCGCGGGGCAGCAUGGGGGUUGCUUGCAAUCCCCGAUGGCGACCGGCGCACGGGUGAGUAACGCGUAUCCAACCUGCCCUUCACCACGGGAUAACCCGGCGAAAGUCGGACUAAUACCGUAUGUUGUCCAUUGACGGCAUCCGAUUUGGACGAAAGGUUUGGCGGUGAAGGCUGGGGAUGCGUCCGAUUAGCUGGACGGCGGGGUGACGGCCCACCGGGGCGACGAUCGGGAGGGGUUCUGAGAGGACGGUCCCCCACACUGGAACUGGGACACGGUCCAGACUCCUACGGGAGGCAGCAGUGAGGAAUAUUGGUCAAUGGGCGUAAGCCUGAACCAGCCAAGUAGCGUGCAGGAUGACGGCCCUAUGGGUUGUAAACUGCUUUUAUGCGGGGAUAAAGUGGCCCACGUGUGGGUUUUUGCAGGUACCGCAUGAAUAAGGACCGGCUAAUUCCGUG
This 490-nucleotide ribosomal RNA is filed under the name uncultured bacterium. RNAcentral's name for it is "partial 16S ribosomal RNA". It matches the Rfam family "Bacterial small subunit ribosomal RNA", at positions 28 to 507 of the family's 1533-position model. The record is from RNAcentral.